RNAcentral lists this ribosomal RNA (400 nucleotides) under uncultured bacterium. RNAcentral's name for it is "bacterial SSU rRNA". It matches the Rfam family "Bacterial small subunit ribosomal RNA", at positions 356 to 773 of the family's 1533-position model. The record is from RNAcentral.
GGGGAAUAUUGGACAAUGGGGGAAACCCUGAUCCAGCAAUGCCGCGUGGGUGAUGAAGGCCUUCGGGUUGUAAAGCCCUUUUGGCGGGGACGAUGAUGACGGUACCCGCAGAAUAAGCCCCGGCUAACUUCGUGCCAGCAGCCGCGGUAAUACGAAGGGGGCUAGCGUUGUUCGGAAUUACUGGGCGUAAAGGGCGCGUAGGCGGCCCUGUCAGUCGGGCGUGAAAGCCCCGGGCUCAACCCGGGAAAUGCGUUCGAUACUGCAAGGCUUGAGUGUGGGAGAGGAUGGUGGAAUUCCCAGUGUAGAGGUGAAAUUCGUAGAUAUUGGGAAGAACACCGGUGGCGAAGGCGGCCAUCUGGACCACUACUGACGCUGAGGCGCGAAAGCGUGGGGAGCAAAC